Molecule: ribosomal RNA, 518 nt
Filed under: uncultured bacterium
Lineage: Bacteria
Description: bacterial SSU rRNA
Rfam family: Bacterial small subunit ribosomal RNA
Source: RNAcentral
GGACGAACGCUGGCGGCGUGCCUAAUACAUGCAAGUCGAACGGUCUUUCUAUGGAAGCUUGCUUCCACUGAGAAGAUAGUGGCGAACGGGUGAGUAACACGUGGGUAACCUGCCCAUAAGAGGGGGAUAACAUCCGGAAACGGGUGCUAAUACCGCAUAGUUUUCUUGAUCGCAUGAUCGGGAAAGGAAAGACGGCCUUUGUGCUGUCGCUUAUGGAUGGACCCGCGGCGUAUUAGUUAGUUGGUGAGGUAACGGCUCACCAAGACGAUGAUACGUAGCCGGCCUGAGAGGGUGAUCGGCCACAUUGGGACUGAGACACGGCCCAAACUCCUACGGGAGGCAGCAGUAGGGAAUCUUCCGCAAUGGACGAAAGUCUGACGGAGCAACGCCGCGUGAGUGAAAGAAGGUUUUCGGAUCGUAAAACUCUGUUGUCAGAGAAGAACAAGUUGGAGAGUAACUGCUCCAGCCUUGACGGUAUCUGACCAGAAAGCCACGGCUAACUACGUGCCAGCCGCCGC